UCGCUCGAGGAACCCGUGCGUGUGGAUUUGCUUAUAGAAUUUUAAAAUUACAAUUUUCAAUCGAACCGCGCCGACUAACGCCAGGCCUACCGAUCAAGUCCAGAUCCACGCGCGCUUCUUGGUUUCUCGCUUAUAAAAAUUACUCGGACUUGUAGUCGUGCAUUUUAUAUACUUUUCAUUGGCGCGUGCGUUGGCGAAAGUUUUCCUUUGCUUUGAUCCGGCGGAGGUAAUCGAGCACACAGGGAGCCAAGACUCCCAGCUACGAUACUUUCAUAAAAGUGGCCGUUGCCGCUGAAGUAGGGGAUUUACUCGUACCCGCCAUAUACCGGGUGUAAAGCGCAGAGCUGUAUCGGUGGAGUGACGCCUGUUGCGCUCACAAGGUCGCGCAUUCAUAUUACACGUAGCUGCCGCAUGUGUGUGUGUAUGUGUGUGUGUGUGUAUACAUGCGUGUACGUGCAUAUGUACCUCCGCGUGAGUAAACACGACCACGUAGGUGAGGUGUGUUUCACAGAUCCGAAAUCAGAGCCGUAGGCAAUCGCGCGGCGGCCCCUGUCCGAUGCGAUAACUGAGGACAGACUGAAGAAUGAUAAAAUGCAGUCAAACGGGUGAGAAGAGUGUUUCGGGAACGUAAUCGAUUAUCGACGCGAACAAUUACAAGACCGACAAGACCAACCUACAGGCGCAAUAAACCGGCACACGGCCGAGUCGCAAGAAGCGUGAGUGUGAUCUACGUGAUUGAGAUUUAUUUAUCUUUGUGCGUAGUACGAGCUAAUUGUAAUUUCGCAUGUGAUAUCUCGCGCCAGCGGCUCGGAGGAAUGCGGUAGACACAACGAGUGAUCGCAUAGAAAAUGAAUCGUCGUGGUUGCAUUACAAUACCGACUGUGCAUCAAGUGUGACGCAAUUAACGACGUUCGAACGAAUCGCGCGCGAUGAACGCUUCAUUGGGAAAUAUCUACGCAAUUUGUGUCGCGUAUACAAAAAUGUAUCUGAGCGUUCAAUUCGACCAACUCAAAUCCGCCAUCCGCGGCCCGUCGAUGCGCGGUAUUUUCGGCAUCGCCGUGUCCGACCUCACGACGACGAUCGACUUUGUCGAGAUGCGUGCGCGUCCGCGCGUCGUUCGGAGCGCAUAUUUGAAUACGUGCGUGUGUGAGCGCGAUGUUCCGCGCGUAUCUAAUUGUAUUGAUCGCACGUGAUAAUAUGCGAGGAUAACUCUGAGCAUCUCAAGGCCUUCGGGAAACGCGAAGCGCGCGCGACCUUCGUCGUCGUGUUUGUAUUCGGUAAAUUGCAGUUGCGGAAAACGAGUCUGAUUUACCGUCGCGUCGACGCGCGGCUCUUCGUGAGCGCGUUGCCUGGAUAUUUUUCAACUCACACACAUACACACACACCCAUAUAAGGUAAUAUGCGCGAUGAGGUAAUCGGCAAAACGUGAGAAUAAAAAAUCCUACACGUCGCAAAAAAUUGAAUUAUGAGAGAUAAUUGCAGCAUGAGAGAGAAGUACAAAUCUCUCAGCACAUCGUCUUGCAGACGAUGCGCUGAUAUACCGACGACGGAAACGGGCUUUCCCGCGGCAGCUAAAGGCAGCGCUCGAAUUCGCGGAGGCGCGAAGGGUGAAAGCGGGUAACGACGUCCUGCGACAGAUGGCGGUAGCAAGGAGGACAACCCCUAUCUUGCUGCCAAACAACCCUCGCAGUUGACGAACAGCUGUUCAGCACCGCCAUGGCGCACGCGACGUCGGGACGACAAAAACACUUGAAACGCCUGCAGCUGAGCCGUGCCGAAAAAAUCUUUCCGUGUCGCGACACAACGUACCUCCUCGUCAUAAACUUUCGAUCGUAAUAAGCGGGCGCGCGGGCGCGCUCGGGACGGUGCUUCGGCUGCUGCGAAUCGCAUGUUUCCCGGGUGGAUGUCAACGUGACGUCUCCGAGAGACACGCUCAAUGCGUAUCUCUGGAUCUCGCCAGGCUGAAUUUCGCGAGUGUUUGGCGGCGGAAACGAGUGUCCAGCGUUACAAUGGGAUGAAUAAGCGCCACGACGCGCGUUGCGACGGCGGUGCGCACGGUCGCUCGUACACGAUGCGAUUACGUCCCGGGGAAAAAAAGGAGAGUUUCCACUUUCGAGAGUCCAAUCCUCACGAGGGGCAUGUAAUUCGUCGUGUAAGCACGUCGACGAGAUGCUCAGAGUACCGGCGCGCCAUGGAAUGUCAGCUCAAAAGAGACAAGACAAACAAGGGGACAAGGGAGUUGUCUACUGACAAAGCCGUCAGGCGCUGCUAUGGACUAUGUACACGAUUCGAUCGGACCGGUUUGACGUACCGUUGGAAUCCAUCGGAGGCAGAAUUUCAUUCUGAGACGGCGGGGACAGUGCGGGUCCGUAAAUGACAGUGGAAAGAGAGGAGGGAGCUGCGAUUCACCACGAACAGGGACGAAGGCUCCGCACGGUAAGCUGUAAAUCUUGACCUCGAAGCUGCAAGAGGAACAUCGAGUCGGUGCGACAUUACCGGAGUGUGGAUCAACAGCCCGCCUGCUUUUCUCCUCGUCACGAAGGUGUGUCACGGAAUGCAUCCUGUUCCCCGACGCCGCGCGAAAAGGGUCUUGUCGACGCGCGGAGAUAAACUCGGAAGAUUGUUUCGCGUAGGAAGCGCCGCGCUUGUACAUCGUUCCUAAUUGACAGAUAGAAGAGAGGAAGAGGAAGAGACCAGGCGACGUUGCGCGAAAUAAAGAAGGAAGGAAGGAAGGAAAGAAAGAAAGAGAGAGAGAGCGGGAGAGAGAGAGAGCGAGAGAGAGAGAGAGAGAGAGAAAGUUUCCCGGCAACGGGAAACUGGAAGCUGGUAUGAGAAGAAGAGGGGCGGCGGACGGGCAAAGACGCGGAGCAGCGUUCGAAAUUUACGAGUGAGCCGGUUUGCUUGCACGUCGUGCGGGGUCCAAGGUGGCGUCUAGGGGCGGUCGUGCCGGCGUAACAAAUGGUCCAGCCGUGAACCGGCUCGCCGUGCAACGACACCGGAAGCAGGCGGCAGCUAUCCAAGCGAGAGCAGCCAUCCCCAACGAGGAUCCGCAAGAAUUCGAGCACGCGGAUGUGAAGGUCUUCAAGCUACCUCUUCGUCCUCCGUCUGUCGCUGCAACGCGGCUAGCGGGCUGAAUUGUUUUGUUUCGGAUUUGCGCGCGCACAAACACCCCCGCGGACCAACGACGGACUCGCGCACGUUUUGCAGAAACGUCGCCCGAGGACAACAUGAACCUGAAUCGUCCGCGACGAGACGGCGUGCUGCUCGUCACAUCGUUUGCGUGGUCGUGAGACGUGGAGCGAGAGAACGAGAGAGAGAGAGAGAGAGAGAGAGAGAAAGAGAGAGAAAGAGAGAGAAGGAGGGAAGAAAGAGGAGAGAGAAAGAAAACGCCUGUCGCGCGUGCCUGUCCUAGCCGUGUGCCACUCGCGACUCGAGCCGACGAGGAUGACGUCGGGGUGCCGCCGCGCUACUCGGUGUCGCCGGGGUUCCCGAGAGGUUUGACUCCACCACGACACAAUCCAGCCCAGAUGGGUUAAGAGCCGCGGCCGCGAUUGACGGCGCGCGAUCUCGUGCUGCUUGUGAAAUGGCGAUCGCACCGCGCUCUCGAAAGUGCAACAAGUGGUGCCCAGAUUGUCGACGCUGAGACGUCAUCGAUGUUACUCGACAGACGACGGACGACGAGGGGACUUGAUCCGGGACCGAUCAGGCUCGCGACUCCGGCUGGAUCGAAGUGCUCGAAGCCACCGCAGCUGCUCGAGGAGAAGGAGGUGGUGGGCGAGGAUCGACCGUGUUACCUCGCGCGCGCGCGCGCGCGCGCGCGAUGCCGGCGGGAUUAAGUGUCUGAUGAACUUUGAAUCCGUUUCUCGUCCCGAACACGACCGUCUCGAAAUUUCUUCGUUAGGGCUAGAUCCUCGCGGCCUCUCGGGCUUGCUAAAGUAGAUUUACCUCACCGGGGGCGAAACGAGUCUCGGCUACGGUCCCGAGAUCCGAUGAUGCUGAUCGUUAGUCUUAUCAGAGACCGCUUUGUUGACCGAUCCCCGAAGAUCGGCCCCAAGAAUGAUCAGCAGGCACACGGCCUCGAGCUAGGAUCUUAGCCUUGAUUCCUCCAACGACGUCGUCGCGCCUUCUCGCGCGGAAAUUACGCGCGGAUCUCAAUUCAUUCACACGGCGACUCGGAUGAAGCUCCAGGACUCGCGGCCAACAUGAAGAAGAACAGCGCCGCGGCGCCGUCGUCGACGUGUGCGAAGAAAGAACACAGCGCGACUCGAUGCUGCGCGCGGAUAGCCGGGGCGAAUGUUCGUUUGCGAGCCCGUGCUACCGACGGCAGCGUUCGAUGCUGAACGAACGAAGGGGACACUUGCCGAGGGUCGACGACGACGACGACGACGACGACGACGUCGACGACGACGACGACGACGACGAUUCUUGGUGCUGCAGCCGGAUCUCUCGCAUCCGGAUCGCGGAUCCGUUGAAUAGGCUCGCGCGCCGCCGGCUGAGCACGCUCGAGGACCUCCGCGAUAAUCCACAAGGCGUUGUCGCAUCCGCCGAGACGACACGAAUAGUCGAAUGACACGAUAGU
This 4579-nucleotide unclassified non-coding RNA is filed under the name Harpegnathos saltator (Jerdon's jumping ant). RNAcentral describes it as "uncharacterized LOC112590650, transcript variant X2". Lineage: Eukaryota; Metazoa; Arthropoda; Insecta; Hymenoptera; Formicidae. The record is from RNAcentral.